GUAUGAUCAGUAACAGCUCAGUCAAGCCUAGUAUGAAGUAGAAAAGUUCAGUUCUAUUUAGUUGGGAGUAGGAUUCAGCACCGAGCGAGCCUAGAGAUGGGGGCACACCCGUUAGUUAGGAUUGGGUCCCUUGAAGCAAUCCCAAAGUUCCAGAACUACAUAGCCAGCAUAGGUAUAAGAUAUCACUCGUUAGAUAGGACUGACAUACUCAGAGAUCACCCGCUAGUUUAGGACUGAUCUCAGGGGUCACCCAUUAGAUAAAGACCAACUCCAUAGCAGUUGUCUUUAUACAUGGAACGGUACUGACACCCUUCCAGCUGGGGUAACAGGUUAGACCCCAUUAGUUCAAAUUCGAGGCAUAUUGGUUAGAUGAAUACUUUCCGUAGUCUCAGUUUUAGUAUCAAUCUUCAGAAUAGAACUAAGAUCAGUGUUAUGGAAAUUAGGACUGUCACAUACAGUAACUCAGAUCAGUAAAGAACUUAGAUAGUUCCAUAUAUUAGAGAUCACCCUCUAGAUAGGACUGAUCUCAUAUUCAGUCAAUCAUUUUCAUUAUCAGUAGAUUCAGGUAUCACCCUCUAGAUAGGACUGAUCUCAGGUAUCAUUACCAGUAGACUCAGUUAUCAGAAAUCUAGUUAUUAGAAUUCAGUACUCAGUGUUACUGCGAUUUUAGUAGUAGUUUAUGCAUUCAUGCAUAUAUCCUCAUUCAAUAGUCUCAUGUUAUUCAGUCAGUAUUGUUCAAACAUGUGAACCCUUGCAUUUAGCCUUACCUCAUCUAGCGUACCAGUACAUUCUCAUGUACUGACGCAUAUUUUUAUCUUGCGCUAUGGUGUAUUGUACCAUAGGUUAAGAAUCACGAGAUCCCAAGCACCCUUAGUAGUUCAGAUUCAGCCAGCAGCAGUAGACUUAGCAGUGAGUCCUCAUCAUUCGAGGAUGUUACUUAUUUUAUUAUUGCAUUAGAAUUAGCAUUUCAGUAAAUAGAGUUAGUUAGUGGAUUGUCCCAUCAACUCCUUAUUCAGACAGUUUAGAGGCUUUUUCAAACUAUAGUAUUUUCAGGUGGAUAGAACAAUGUAGGCAAGGGAAGUCGGCAAAAUGGAUCCGUAACUUUUGGAAAAGGAUUGGCACUAAGGGAUGGGCAGGGGUGUCCCAGUCCCGAACCCAUCGCCUAUCGGUGGACUACUCGAGCUACUCCCGCAGUGAGAGUGGGUCGCCGUGUGCCGAUCGUGGGAUGGAUUAGGAAUGGUUCCUUCAGGGGCCUUCCCCGCACGUCGAACAGCCAACUCAAAACUGGUACGGACAAGGGGAAUCCGACUUUUUAAUUAAAACAAAGCAUUGCAAUGGUCCCAACGGAUGUUCACGCAUUGUGAUUUCUGCCCUGUGCUCUGAAUGUCAAAAUGAAGAAAUUCAACCAAGCGCGGGUAAAUGGCGGGAGUAACUAUGACUCUCUUAAGGUAGCCAAAUGCCUCGUCAUCUAAUUAGUGACGCGCAUGAAUGGAUUAACAAGAUUCCCACUAUCCCUGUCUACUAUCUAGCGAAACCACAACCAAGGAAACGGGCUUGGCAGAAUCAGCGGGGAAAGAAGAUCCUCUUGAGCUUGACUCUACUCCGACUUUGUGAAAUGACUUGACAUAUGUAGUAUAAGUGGGAGCCGAAAGAUGAAAGUGAAAUACCACUAAUUUUAAUGUUAUUUUACUUAUUCCGUGAAUCAAAAGUGGGUCACUGGCCCUCUCUUUGGACCCAAGGCUUACUCUGCGGGAUUAUCUAGGCGGAAAACAUUGUCAGGUGGGGAGUUUGGCUGGGGUGGCACAUCUGUUAAAAGAUAACACAGGUAUCCUAAGAUGAGCUCAACAAGAACAGAAAUAUCGUGUGGAACAGAAGGGUACAAUCUCGUUUUAUUAUAAUUUAUAGUACGAAUAUGAACCAAGAAAGCAUGGCCUAACGAUCCUUUAGACCUUCGGAAUUCGAAGCUAGAGGUGUCAGAAAAGUGUUACCAUAGGGAUAACUGGCGUGUUUUAGCCAAGCGUUCAUAGCAACGUUGCUUUUUCAUCCUUCAAUGCUGUCUCUUCCUAUCAUUGUGAAGAAGAAUUCACCAAGUAUUGGACUAUUCACCCACCAAUAUGGAACGUGAGCUAGGUUUAGACCGUCGUGAGACAGGUUAGUUUUACCCUACUUAUGACAGUUUCGCAGUAGUAAUUCAACCUAGUACGAGAGGAAACGUUGAUUCAUAUAACUUAUCAUUGCGCUUGGUUGAAAAGCUAGUGGUGCAAAGCUAUCGUGUGCUGGAUUAUGACUGAAUGCCUCUAAGUCAGAAUUCGGGCUAGAAGUGACGCACGCGCCCGCUGUCUUCUUGCUGACCUGCAGUAGGGGCCUUGUCCCCUAAGGGAACGUGUCCUUUGCUAAGCCACCACGGCGGAAGAGUCGCGGUGGCCGCCUUGAAGUAUAAUUUCCAUUGAGCGGCGAGUAGAAUCCUUUGCAGAUGACUUAAUUAUGUGAUGGGGUAUUGUAAGUGGAAGAAUGUCCUUGUUGCAACGAUCCACUGAGAUUCAUCCCUUUGUCGCUCUGGUUCGU
RNAcentral lists this ribosomal RNA (2565 nucleotides) under Capsicum baccatum. Its description in RNAcentral is "eukaryotic LSU rRNA". The stretch from base 1057 to 2563 matches the Rfam family "Eukaryotic large subunit ribosomal RNA", at positions 1889 to 3399 of the family's 3401-position model. Lineage: Eukaryota; Viridiplantae; Streptophyta; Magnoliopsida; Solanales; Solanaceae. The record is from RNAcentral.